RNAcentral lists this long non-coding RNA (671 nucleotides) under Triticum aestivum (bread wheat). Its description in RNAcentral is "long non-coding RNA (TAES_LNC003041)". The record is from RNAcentral. Lineage: Eukaryota; Viridiplantae; Streptophyta; Magnoliopsida; Poales; Poaceae.
UUGUAAAUAUAAGUAGUUUAUACUGGCUGCAACUUGGUGGCGGAGGUAGGCAAAAGAUUCAGGAGAAAAUCAUGAAAAUCUGAGGGAGAUAACAACUAUUUUUCUCGAUCUAAGCCUUCUAAAAUAUAUUCUUCACAAUUAUAUCAAAGCUGGGGGCGCCAUUGAACAGCUCUAGGAGAGUGCAUGCGUUCUGAUAUCACUACGCACAACUCCUAUAGCUACUGAUCCUACGCUUCACACACCCUGCCUUGUAUCACUGAGGGCAUGUACAAUGGUUGAUAAGGUAGUCUUAUCUUAAAUCUUGCAUGUAAUUUAGAUAUGAUAAAAAAAAGAGUCUACAAUGGGUCAUCUCUUAGCCUUAUCUUCAAUAACUAGUCAUUCCUAAAAAUGUGGUGAGACAUAUUGUGCUAAGAGAUCAUCUCUUGUCUUCUCUUAAAUAAGAGAAGACAAGCCUUUUUUUAUGAGUUCUCUCUCCUCCACAUCAUCAUUUAUCCUACGUGGCACUCUUAAGAUAGCACCAUUGUACAUGCCCUGAAGAGCUCGGCUGCUGCUGCAUGGUACUACCAUAAAAUCUUGAGGACUGCCUAACGACAUCAUCGGCCGACAUGUCGCGAUGAUCGCCAAUCCAGCCUUGGUCGGAGUCCUUAUUUGACUGAACACGCUAAAAUCCA